Molecule: non-coding RNA, 1563 nt
Organism: Microcebus murinus (gray mouse lemur)
Lineage: Eukaryota; Metazoa; Chordata; Mammalia; Primates; Cheirogaleidae
Source: RefSeq, a predicted model, not a curated record
CGCCCGGCAGUUCAUCCAUCUUAAAGAUCAAUCAGUAGUACUUCAUUCCUUUUUAUAUCCAGCCUUGAAUUUCUUAUUGGCUUGCCAUAGCCAGCAGGGAUAAAGUCUGUAGUGAUAUAUCAUUCAAGAGUCUUCAAGAUCUAAAGGAUAGACUGGAACAAGGAAGGCGCUGAGCUUAAACUGUCAAGUUCGGUGGACACUGGCAGCGCGCUGAUCUGAAGAAACGUUUUGUGAUUUUCGGCGCUAGCACAUCAUCUGGAGGUGUAAGUCCGAAGGUCCGGACCCAGCUGAAAGAAAUGGGACGCCGUUCAUCAGAUACUGAGGAAGAAAGCAGAAGCAAGAGAAAAAAGAAACACCAUAGACAGUCAUCAUCGAGCAGUUCUUCAGAUGGUAGAACAUACAGCCGAAAGAAAGGAGGAAGGAAGUCAAGAUCAAAGUCAAGAUCUUGGUCCAGGGAUCUUCAGCCUCAUUCACAUUCUUAUGACAGAAGACGCAGACAUCGAUCAAGCAGUAGCUCUUCUUAUGGCUCUAGAAGAAAACGAGGUCGAAGUCGUUCAAGGGGUCGAGGGAAAUCCUAUAGAGUUCAGAGGUCUAGGUCAAAAAGCAGAACAAGAAGGUCCAGGUCAAGACCUCGUCCACGUUCUCAUAGUCGAAGCAGUGAAGGGUCCAGUCACAGAAAAACCCAUAGUCGGUCUUGGGAUAGAGAACGUCGUAAAGGGAGAGAGAAAGAGAAGAGAGAAAAGGAGAAGGAUAAAGGCAAGGACAAGGAGUUACACAACAUCGAACGCGGGGAAUCUAGAAACAUCAAAGCUGGAUUAGAACACCUGCCACCAGCUGAACAGGCCAAAGCCAGACUACAGCUCGUUCUUGAAGCUGCUGCAAAAGCUGAUGAAACAUUGAAAGCCAAAGAAAGAAAUGAGGAAGAAGCGAAGAGAAAAAAGGAGGAAGACCAAGCCACCCUGGUAGAACAAGUAACAAGAGUAAAAGAAAUUAAAGGUAUUGAAAGUGAUUCUUUUGUUCAGCAGUCAUUCAGAUCAAGUAAAGAAGUCAAAAAGUCAGUGGAACUUACUGAAGUGAAACAUGCAAUCUCAACAUCAGGACCAGCAACAGCAGUUGCUGAUUUACCCAGUAUUGAGAAAGAAAUAGAUGCAAGCAGCAUCCCUACUGCUAUCAAGUACCAAGAUGACAAUUCUCUGGCCCAUCCAAUUUUAUUUGUUGAGAAAGCUGAUGCUAAAGAAAAGUGGUUCAAGAGGUUAAUUGCGCUCCGACAAGAAAGACUAAUGGGCAGUCCUAUAGCCUAAGAAAUACACAUGUUGUUAAAUUGACAGUAACAUUGGGAAAUUUAAGUUUUUAAAUCCCAACAUUAACUUUUUACUCAUAAAAAGGAUUUAGUUAUUAUAUUAAAAGGUAAUCUUAUUUCAUUCUUCUCUCAUAUAGGCUUGAAUAUUUGUUGAUUUAGGCUUGAAUAUUUGAUUUGAACUAAAUCAUAUAUUGUAAAUAAAACUAGUAUAAAAUUUAAGAAUGCAUGGAAAUGUUAUACUGUUAAUAAAGCUAAUCAUUAAA